GUGGGGGCAGGGUUUACAAGGGUGAGAGGUCACAAGUCUCUCUUGGGUUGCUGCUUUUACCGGCAAACAGAUCAAUGCAACCACGUUGCCGGAAUGAAAAGAAUACGCUACGACGCUCUUUAUUGCCAUCGUUUUUCCCCGUUUGUUUGGCUUGUUUACAAGAGGUCUUUUGGUGGCGAUUUACACCCUCGGAAGAUUUUGUCGCCGGCGCGUCCACCCCACCCCCACUAACAGGAAAAACCACUAUAAAGGUGCUCUCGCGAUUUCAUGCAUGAAAAAACGUUUUGUUUGUGCCAAAAAAGGGUCGCGCAGGUUGCAACAUCUGUGGCCAAGGCUGAGUGGAGUGGAGCUCGCGGCUCUGCACGAUGAACCAGGCUCUACUUUCCUUCUUUAACCACCCUCGUGCAACCAACUCAAGAAUUAUUGGACAUUGUCUUGCUUGCAAUGGAGCACACCAAUCUCUUCUCGCCACCUACGAUGAGCCGCUUGACCCCAAGGCCCUCCAGCUAAGGUGCAUCUAGUGUAGUAUAGUGUAAUACUUGAUAAUCUACUGCCCUAGUUGCUCCUUCUGGCUGGUGAGCUUUUUUUUAUGCUGACUCUCCGAGGAGUUCUCUGCAAGCAAUCUGUGGGAGGGAGGGACUACACUUUAACACUAUUAAUAUUUGUUAGAUAACUACAAAAUCAUAAACCCCGCUGUUUAACGCUUGAAAAGAAAGUGCUCAUGUGGUUCUUUCUGGCUAACAAAUCAUACUUUGUCUUCAUGCCAACAAUCAAUGGUGCAGAUAUAAUCCCAUUAUAUUACAUAGCCCGAUAAAGUGGAACCUCCACAAGCCAUUCCAGGACACCGGUGGCAAUUUAAUCCAUAGGAUUUGAACAUUUAAGUCUGUUCCAAGGUCGAUCGAGAAUUGCUGGACAUUUUGGCUUCAAAAUUCUUAAAUGAUUCAUUCACUUUUCUGAUUUUCUGCUAGACAUUCAUCAAUAAUAGGCAAUAAGCUAUCAAAUGCUUGAUUAGCUGUUUUAUUAAAAUGUGAAAAAUAGAAGAGAGGAACUUUGAAGUGUGUGUUCCCAAGUGAUUUAGGAGGAAUAUUUUUUUUACCUCGAGGGGUUUUUGUUCCCAUUGUAGUUGAGAAACACAUUAAAUCUCUUCCAUCUGUCAUGCUGUGCAUAUGUCCCGUCAUUGACUUGGCUGUUCCAAAGUGCUCACAGUGCAGGUAGUGUUCACUUAAACCUACUGCAGUUUGUGCACUUCAGGUGUUGCCAGUCACUUGGCCUUCCACCAUGCCUCGUCAAUCAGUAAUUGUGUGGACUUAUGGGCCGACGGCGAGUUUUGUUGGUUUGCUUUCAGCUUCUGUCACAUUUUGCUGUGCAAAUCCAUGCAAAGCUCUCCGUUUGUCACACAAAACCCACCGAAGAUGUCCCUAAAUCCUGAACGUUAUACAUUGUUCAUAAUGGCAAGGCCAAGCUAUUCGAUUCUCUCUGUUGCGCAGAACUUUAUGGGAGACUUAAAAACACUGCUGCUUUUAUCUUGUGGUUUUCAGGUGGAUGAUCUCGCAAUUCCAACACCUUACUAAAUGAAAGGAAUUGCACAGUAUCCAUCUGUCAUCCGCCAGAUGAUUAGCCCAUCCCUGAGUUUAUAAGGCUGCGGCAAUUUUUAUCUGAAGAGAUGGAUUGAAAUACAUUGCAGUAUGGUGGGCUGUUCGUGGUUUAAAUAUAAGCUCUUCUGUGUGGUGCAGAGGUUCAUCCGCUACUUGAAUGGGCUUUCACAGGGUACUCACAGGGCUUCUAAAGUUUAAAGUAAAGACUCUGAAAUGAAGUCACACUACUGAAAUGACUGAAUUGGUGGCUAAAGGGUUACAGUAUAUCUCCUGAGCUGCGACAAGCCGUUUGAGCGUUAAUUUGUUGUCGUUUGUUUAUCUUAAGGUCCACGCAUACUAGUAUGCUCUUUUUCCUCGCUAGCAACACAAUAUAGUGGACUGGUAGAAUGACUGAAUUUUAUUAGUAACAUUUAUUUCACUGCUAGAGCCACUUCUGGCCUACUAGUAUUAAAUCUUUUCAACAGAUCUGCACCAAGCCCAACUACUGUAGUAGCCUCUUGAGCCCUACCUGUAGCACCAAAUGCCUGUUAGUAGUUUUGACUUACUAAGGAAUGAACGUGGUUGUUCUACUUCUGAGGACGGGGUGUACUAGUACAGGGACCUUUGGCUGGACAGGGAUGAUGCCAAAAUGUCAAAUUUGAGGCUUGCAGUCUGUAUUUGGUAGGCCAUGUCCUUUUUAUGUGCCCCAUCAGAGCUAUAUGUGUAAAUGGACGUCUUAAAUGAAAUGUGUCGCGACAACCUCCAUUAGUGUAUACCACUUGUGUAAAACUCGAGGCGCGGGAGCCAUCUUCAGCCUGCCAUGUUGUUUGUGGCCCAAUGAAACAAAUAAAAUCUCAUGAUUCUUACAAA
Hippocampus zosterae (dwarf seahorse) is the source of this 2444-nucleotide long non-coding RNA. RefSeq lists it as uncharacterized. The record is from RefSeq and is a predicted model, not a curated record. Lineage: Eukaryota; Metazoa; Chordata; Actinopteri; Syngnathiformes; Syngnathidae. The transcript is spliced from 2 exons.